CGAAAGCAGGUCAUAGUGAUCCGGUGGUUCUGAAUGGAAGGGCCAUCGCUCAACGGAUAAAAGGUACUCCGGGGAUAACAGGCUGAUACCGCCCAAGAGUUCAUAUCGACGGCGGUGUUUGGCACCUCGAUGUCGGCUCAUCACAUCCUGGGGCUGAAGUAGGUCCCAAGGGUAUGGCUGUUCGCCAUUUAAAGUGGUACGCGAGCUGGGUUUAGAACGUCGUGAGACAGUUCGGUCCCUAUCUGCCGUGGGCGCUGGAGAACUGAGGGGGGCUGCUCCUAGUACGAGAGGACCGGAGUGGACGCAUCACUGGUGUUCGGGUUGUCAUGCCAAUGGCACUGCCCGGUAGCUAAAUGCGGAAGAGAUAAGUGCUGAAAGCAUCUAAGCACGAAACUUGCCCCGAGAUGAGUUCUCCCUGACCCUUUAAGGGUCCUGAAGGAACGUUGAAGACGACGA
RNAcentral lists this ribosomal RNA (456 nucleotides) under Shigella flexneri. RNAcentral describes it as "partial 23S ribosomal RNA". It matches the Rfam family "Bacterial large subunit ribosomal RNA", at positions 2400 to 2850 of the family's 2925-position model. The record is from RNAcentral. Lineage: Bacteria; Pseudomonadati; Pseudomonadota; Gammaproteobacteria; Enterobacterales; Enterobacteriaceae.